Molecule: ribosomal RNA, 119 nt
Filed under: Pteropus vampyrus (large flying fox)
Lineage: Eukaryota; Metazoa; Chordata; Mammalia; Chiroptera; Pteropodidae
Source: RNAcentral
GUCUGUGGCCAUACCACCCUGAACACACCCGAUCCUGUCUGAUCUCAGAAGCUAAGCAGGGUCGGGCCUGGUUAGUCCUUGGAUGGGAGACCACCUAGGAAGACUGGGUGCUGUAGGUG